CAGCCGCCGCGGUAAUACCGGCGGCCCGAGUGGCGGUCACUAUUAUUGGGCUUAAAGCGUCCGUAGCCGGGGUGGGAAGUCCUCCGGGAAAUCUGGCCGCUUAAAGGUCAGAAUGCCGGAGGAUACUCCCAGCCUAGGGAGCGGGAGAGGCCGAGGGUAUUCCCGGAGUAGGGGUGAAAUCCUAUAAUCCCGGGAGGACCACCUGUGGCGAAGGCGCUCGGCUGGAACGCGUCCGACGGUGAGGGACGAAGGCCAGGGGAGCAAACCGGAUUAGAUACCCGGGUAGUCCUGGCUGUAAACGAUGCGGACUUUGUGUCGGACAAGCUAUGAGCUUGUCCGGUGCCGGAGGGAAACCGUUAAGUCCGCCGCCUGGGGAGUACGGCCGCAAGGCUGAAACUUAAAGGAAUUGGCGGG
RNAcentral lists this ribosomal RNA (414 nucleotides) under uncultured microorganism. RNAcentral describes it as "bacterial SSU rRNA". It matches the Rfam family "Archaeal small subunit ribosomal RNA", at positions 459 to 872 of the family's 1478-position model. The record is from RNAcentral.